CAACAUAGGAGGGCCACGCACAGGAAGCAGCUCGUUCAGUAGUUUAGUUGGAAUAGGGUCCAGUAUGCAGCUUGAAGGUUUAGAGGCCAUGAUUAUUUUCAUCAUUGUGUCAAGCGAUAUAGUACUAAAACACUUGAGUGUCUCUCUUGAUCCUAGGUCCUGGCAGAGUUGUGCAGACUCAGGACAACUGAGCUUUGAAGGAAUACGCAGAUUUAAAGAGGAGUCCGUAAUUUGCUUUCUAAUAAUCAUGAUCUUUUCCUCAAAGAAGUUCAUGAAUUUAUUACUGCUGAAGUGAAAGCCAUCCUCUCUUGGAACGGAAUCAAAUUCCUCUGUGGAACAGUCAGAACUGACGCUAGAGCCUGAUGUCAUCUCCCCCUACACGUUCAACAGAUGAGCCUAUCCUACACUGACAUCUGCUGGACAGAAACCAGUUCUCUCUUCCUCAUCACCGUAGACUGUUCUGUUCAUGGAAUUUAUAGUACAUUUUUACUACUUAAUUUUAUGAAAUCACAUUGUAACCUGUUUGUUAUAAAUAUGGUUCAUUCUAAUCUCUACGUUAUAAAGCAUUUUAUUAAUUCUACCCAUUUGUGCAACCUAGUCACUAAAGUGUUUGAUGAGACUAUUAUUGUAGUCUAGUAGGUCUACUGUGUAGUCUACUACGUUCUUUUAAACCACUCCAAACAAGAAGUUCCCUCACAGGAAAAAUAUAUUCUAUCUAUGAUUUCAUUUUGCAUGUCUGCUGCUUUGUUGAAAACAAUUAAACAUUUUACAUUGAGAAUGUGAAGGCAAUAUACACUAUGUCAAUCAUGAAUGAUCCACAUGUUAAAAUAACUGUCAUAUUUGUUUUAAACUCUGGCUGGAUUCCAGUAAGAAUUACACAUCAUUUUGCAAAC
Oncorhynchus tshawytscha (Chinook salmon) is the source of this 893-nucleotide long non-coding RNA. NCBI's taxonomy places the organism in Eukaryota, Metazoa, Chordata, Actinopteri, Salmoniformes, Salmonidae. The record is from Ensembl.